Molecule: long non-coding RNA, 607 nt
Organism: Centruroides sculpturatus (bark scorpion)
Lineage: Eukaryota; Metazoa; Arthropoda; Arachnida; Scorpiones; Buthidae
Exons: 3
Source: RefSeq, a predicted model, not a curated record
GUGAGUGCUGCAGUGACAAUUUAGGCUUAGUUGUUGUUACAUAAUUUUUUUUAUUGAGUUAUGAUUAUUUUUGGAACAAAAUUCGAAAUUAUUAAGCUGAAAUGAUUUUUUGUUUUGCUCUUUCCGUCCUGUGGGCUUCUUUUAUAGUAAGCCCAUUACGGGUUGGACCAAAGCCUCAAUAAAACGGGGCUUGACAUAUUUGAACAGAUCACUCUGGAAAAAUUCCCGGGGUUUUCGAUUUGUUCGGAUUCGGUUCCGGUCCCCCCACCAGAGCGGCAGGCUGCCGUCUUAAGUAUUUAUGGUACAAUGUUUAUGAAUUCUAACAUUAAUAUUGUAUUUGUUUUUAUAUUGAUGGAUUUUUAAUUUAUUCGGGUUUUCUGAAAUAUAUUCACGAUUGUUUAUUUCAUAAAGCUGAACGAUACUGAAUAAUAAACACCUCUAAGUAUCUAUUCGAGUAAAUUAUGUGUGAAGACGAAGUUGUAGCUGUUGUCGUAGACAAUGGUUCUGGAAUAUGUAAAGCUGGAUUCGCGGGUGAUGAUGCUCCCCGAGCUGUUUUUCCUUCAAUAGUUGGACGACCACGUCAUCAGGUAGUAAUGGUUGGUAUGGA